Chelonia mydas (Green sea turtle) is the source of this 900-nucleotide long non-coding RNA. RefSeq lists it as uncharacterized. NCBI's taxonomy places the organism in Eukaryota, Metazoa, Chordata, Testudines, Cheloniidae. The transcript has 4 exons. The record is from RefSeq and is a predicted model, not a curated record.
CUCGCUCGCUGCCAGGUGGAGGAGGAGCCCGCUUGGGUUCGGCACCUGCUGCUUAGCUCCGUGCCCUGCUGCUCCUCGCCCUGAAAGUCUCCACGAACAGCCCAGGCGUCUUGCAGAGGACUGCACCAGCUGAUGAAUAACAGACACAGAGAGAAAUAUUAAGAAGAAAUUGUAUGCAGGAACAUGAAGUUUCUUUAGCUUAAUACAUGAGCUUUGACUACCAAAGCAUCCAGUACAAACUAUCAAGAAUCUGCCAGUAAGACACACUGGACUGAUGACAGGAAAUGGAUGGAUCUAUAAAAUGCAGUUGUUGUUCUGACCCUUUUUCCUGAUGGAAUCCACAAGGAAGGAUAUCCCCACUUUUGCAUGGAGCCUGGAGCCGUCCUUGUGGGCCGCUGGAAACACAAUUCCCGCUCGAGCUGUUCUGCUAUGGAAGAGACUUAAAUGGAGAUAAUACAAAGUGUCAGCACCCACCGGGAUUCCUUUGCAGAAAUUUUGGGUGCAGAGCAGAGGGCUGGAGGAACUGAGAAUCAGGCCCUUUCGUUUUUUCAUCACAUCUGUUGCCCCCAUAUGUCUUGUAAAAGUGUAAAAUAAUUGAAAUCGUGGAAGUGAGUCCCAGAAAGCAAUUCUAUCUCUCUUGGUUAAUACUAAGAACUUGAGAUCAUUAAACGAGACUUACUUUAGAUACAAAAUCAAUAAUUCAAAUUUUUGCAUUGAGACAUAGCAGAUAAUUAGUGGCUAAGUGCCCAAUAUGCUAGUGUAUAAUGUGUUCUGCUUACAACAUAAUAAAAAGGCAGUUAGUUUUAGACCUCAGUCUAAUUAAUUAAGCUAAAAUACAGCUCCUAAGUCAAGUUGCAUUUAUUGAUUUUGCUUGUGGUAUAUUUUAACCAGAUACAAUAC